GAUGAACGCUGGCGGCGUGCCUAAUACAUGCAAGUCGAGCGAACAGAUGAGGAGCUUGCUCCUCUGACGUUAGCGGCGGCCGGGUGAGUAACACGUGGAUAACCUACCUAUAAGACUGGGAUAACUUCGGGAAACCGGAGCUAAUACCGGAUAAUAUAUUGAACCGCAUGGUUCAAUAGUGAAAGACGGUUUUGCUGUCACUUAUAGAUGGAUCCGCGCCGCAUUAGCUAGUUGGUAAGGUAACGGCUUACCAAGGCAACGAUGCGUAGCCGACCUGAGAGGGUGAUCGGCCACACUGGAACUGAGACACGGUCCAGACUCCUACGGGAGGCAGCAGUAGGGAAUCUUCCGCAAUGGGCGAAAGCCUGACGGAGCAACGCCGCGUGAGUGAUGAAGGUCUUCGGAUCGUAAAACUCUGUUAUUAGGGAAGAACAAAUGUGUAAGUAACUAUGCACGUCUUGACGGUACCUAAUCAGAAAGCCACGGCUAACUACGUG
RNAcentral lists this ribosomal RNA (497 nucleotides) under uncultured bacterium. Its description in RNAcentral is "partial 16S ribosomal RNA". It matches the Rfam family "Bacterial small subunit ribosomal RNA", at positions 28 to 507 of the family's 1533-position model. The record is from RNAcentral.